AGUGAACGCUGGCGGUAGGCCUAACACAUGCAAGUCGAACGGCAGCACAGUAAGAGCUUGCUCUUACGGGUGGCGAGUGGCGGACGGGUGAGGAAUACAUCGGAAUCUACUUUUUCGUGGGGGAUAACGUAGGGAAACUUACGCUAAUACCGCAUACGACCUACGGGUGAAAGCAGGGGAUCUUCGGACCUUGCGCGAUUGAAUGAGCCGAUGUCGGAUUAGCUAGUUGGCGGGGUAAAGGCCCACCAAGGCGACGAUCCGUAGCUGGUCUGAGAGGAUGACAGGCCCAACUGGAACUGGGCCACGGUCCAGACUCCUACGGGAGGCAGCAGUGGGGAAUAUUGGACAAUGGGGGCAAGCCUGAUCCAGCCAUACCGGGUGGGUGAAGAAGGCCUUCGGGUUGUAAAGCCCUUUUGUUGGGAAAGAAAGCAGCAGGUUAAUACCCCGCUGUUCUGACGGUACCCAAAGAAUAAGCACCGGCUAACUUCGUG
This 491-nucleotide ribosomal RNA is filed under the name uncultured bacterium. RNAcentral describes it as "partial 16S ribosomal RNA". It matches the Rfam family "Bacterial small subunit ribosomal RNA", at positions 29 to 507 of the family's 1533-position model. The record is from RNAcentral.